CGGACGGGUGAGUAAUGCUUGGGAAUCUAGCUUAUGGGGGGGGAUAACUACGGGAAACUGUAGCUAAUACCGCGUAAUAUCGAAAGAUUAAAGUGUGGGACCUUCGGGCCACAUGCCAUAGGAUGAGCCCAAGUGGGAUUAGGUAGUUGGUGAGGUAAAGGCUCACCAAGCCGACGAUCUCUAGCUGGUCUGAGAGGAUGACCAGCCACACUGGGACUGAGACACGGCCCAG
RNAcentral lists this ribosomal RNA (232 nucleotides) under uncultured bacterium. RNAcentral's name for it is "partial 16S ribosomal RNA". It matches the Rfam family "Bacterial small subunit ribosomal RNA", at positions 99 to 334 of the family's 1533-position model. The record is from RNAcentral.